Molecule: transfer RNA, 87 nt
Filed under: Acidithiobacillus ferrooxidans ATCC 23270
Lineage: Bacteria; Pseudomonadati; Pseudomonadota; Acidithiobacillia; Acidithiobacillales; Acidithiobacillaceae
Description: tRNA-Leu
Rfam family: tRNA
About the family: Transfer RNA (tRNA) molecules are approximately 80 nucleotides in length.
Source: RNAcentral
UGCCCAGGUGGCGAAAUCGGUAGACGCAAGGGACUUAAAAUCCCUCGGCUUAUGCCGUGCCGGUUCGAGUCCGGCCCUGGGCACCAU